This 508-nucleotide ribosomal RNA is filed under the name uncultured bacterium. RNAcentral's name for it is "partial 16S ribosomal RNA". It matches the Rfam family "Bacterial small subunit ribosomal RNA", at positions 28 to 523 of the family's 1533-position model. The record is from RNAcentral.
GAUGAACGCUAGCUACAGGCUUAACACAUGCAAGUCGAGGGGCAGCGGUAUCGAAAGCUUGCUUUCGGUAGCCGGCGACCGGCGCACGGGUGAGUAACGCGUAUCGAACCUGCCUCAUACUCGGGAAUAGCCUUGCGAAAGUAAGAUUAAUGCCCGGUGUUUUCAGAGUCCCGCAUGAGGCUUUGAACAAAGAUUUAUCGGUAUGAGAUGGCGAUGCGUCCCAUUAGCUUGUUGGCGGGGUAACGGCCCACCAAGGCAUCGAUGGGUAGGGGUUCUGGGAGGAAGGUCCCCCACAUUGGAGAUGAGACACGGUCCAAACUCCUACGGGAGGCAGCAGUGAGGAAUAUUGGUCAAUGGGCGGAAGCCUGAACCAGCCAAGUAGCGUGCAGGAAGACGGCCCUCCGGGUUGUAAACUGCUUUUAGUUGGGAAUAAAACGGGGCUCGUGAGCCCCCUUGCAUGUACCAUCAGAAAAAGGACCGGCUAAUUCCGUGCCAGCAGCCGCCGUAA